RNAcentral lists this ribosomal RNA (273 nucleotides) under uncultured bacterium. RNAcentral describes it as "partial 16S ribosomal RNA". It matches the Rfam family "Bacterial small subunit ribosomal RNA", at positions 524 to 796 of the family's 1533-position model. The record is from RNAcentral.
UACGGAGGGUGCGAGCGUUAAUCGGAAUUACUGGGCGUAAAGCGCACGCAGGCGGUUUGUUAAGCAAGAUGUGAAAGCCCCGGGCUCAACCUGGGAACUGCAUUUUGAACUGGCAGACUAGAGUCUUGGAGAGGGGGGUGGAAUUCCAGGUGUAGCGGUGAAAUGCGUAGAGAUCUGGAGGAACAUCAGUGGCCGAAGGCGGCCCCUGGCCAAGCACUGACGCUCAUGUGCGAAAGUGUGGGUAGCGAACAGGAUUAGACUACCCGGUAGUCC